RNAcentral lists this ribosomal RNA (540 nucleotides) under Microbacterium sp. MP4. RNAcentral describes it as "partial 16S ribosomal RNA". Lineage: Bacteria; Bacillati; Actinomycetota; Actinomycetes; Micrococcales; Microbacteriaceae. The record is from RNAcentral.
CCCCUGGAUGCUCUUGUUACGACUUAGUCCUAAUUACCGAUCCCACCUUCGACAGCUCCCUCCACAAGGGUUGGGCCACCGGCUUCAGGUGUUACCGACUUUCAUGACUUGACGGGCGGUGUGUACAAGACCCGGGAACGUAUUCACCGCAGCGUUGCUGAUCUGCGAUUACUAGCGACUCCGACUUCAUGAGGUCGAGUUGCAGACCUCAAUCCGAACUGGGACCGGCUUUUUGGGAUUCGCUCCACCUCACGGUAUUGCAGCCCUUUGUACCGGCCAUUGUAGCAUGCGUGAAGCCCAAGACAUAAGGGGCAUGAUGAUUUGACGUCAUCCCCACCUUCCUCCGAGUUGACCCCGGCAGUAUCCCAUGAGUUCCCACCAUUACGUGCUGGCAACAUAGAACGAGGGUUGCGCUCGUUGCGGGACUUAACCCAACAUCUCACGACACGAGCUGACGACAACCAUGCACCACCUGUUCACCAGUGUCCAAAGAGUUCCCUAUUUCUAGGGCGUUCUGGUGUAUGUCAAGCCUUGGUAAGG